CUAAGUCAACACAAAUCCAACGGUGGUGAUUGAGCAAUAUUUCGUGAUUAGUAUCUAAUCAGAUGAACAUUAUUGGCGAUUAAAAGAAAAGAAAGAAAAACCCAGUAUUUUUGUUCAUAGCUGAAAAUAGCUUGGGGUAUUUCCAGAAACACCUGGUGUGCUCACUCAGACUGAUUCGAAAGCCACCACAAAAAAUGCUGCGCCUUCAAAUUUGUCACCCACCCAUGUUGCACGGCCCUUCCCUACUCUGUACCCGCGCUCCGUUAUCCCUUUCUUGCCUCGCCGUGUCGAGAAAGUCCGAUUCGGAGCCCGACCCGGACCGAGCCAAGCCGAAACCCCGUCGCCGGAAAACCGCGGCCGGCGGAAACGAAGGCGGAGAAAAAGACCAGCCUUUCACGAUUCCGAGGAAGACCCGGCGCGGGCGGAGGAGCGAGGCGGCGGCGGUGCAGGAUUACGUGAGGGACACACUCAACCGGACGUUUAAGACAAUCCAGGAGCAGAACCCGGAGAUUUUCGAGAAGAAGGGAGAAUUGAUGAAGGAGAAAGCUUCCGCCGUUGACGACGGCGACGAGGGGAGUGAGAGAGAGGAGACGGCGGUGGUGGAGGAGGAGACGGAGAAUUGGCCGCUGGAUGCGGAGGUGGGGUGGGGGAUUAGGGCGUCGGAGUAUUUUGAGAAGCACGCGAUUCGGAACGUGGUGGAUGAAAAUGGGGUUGAGAUUGAUUGGGAAGGAGAGGUUGAGGAUAAUUGGGUCAAGGAGAUUAAUUGCUUGGAGUGGGAAAGCUUUGCUUUUCAUCCCAGUCCGCUUAUUGUCUUUGUUUUCGAGAGGUAUAACAGAGCAGCUGAGAAUUGGAAGGCUUUGAAGGAGCUUGAGAAGGCUGUCAAGGUGUAUUGGGAUGCCAAAGAUCGGCUGCCUCCCAGGUCUGUGAAGAUAGACAUGAAUAUUGAGAGGGAUUUGGCCUAUGCUUUGAAGGUUAGAGACUGUCCUCAGGUUUUGUUUCUGAGAGGGAACAGGAUCUUGUACAGAGAGAAAGAGAUUCGGACGGCGGACGAAUUGGUUGCCAUGAUUGCGCAUUUCUACUACAAUGCAAAGAGGCCGUCCUGGAUUGAUGUGAAGGAGCUAACUCUGCCAUACUAGUGGCAUUCUGGUACUAAAUCGGCACCCACUAAGAUUUAUUUUUGUUUUGCUUCUGUAUGCUGGAGUAUGAGCUCUGCCUUUGAGACUUUUAAUAUGUGACCUAGUGCUUUUUGGCCAUCCAGACUGCGGAUUAUGUUCUCGUGAGACCGUGAGAGAGCAUUGGGUUGCUCAGAUGUUGGCAGCAUGCAACACCGGGGACUAGGUUGUAUUUGCAGUGCUCCGUAUUUGUUUGUUUUCAUUGUGGCAGUGCAAAACUGGGUAUGUGGAUCAUCCGGUGAUGAGCAACCUGUAUGUGUAGCAUCAUGGGACUGUACUAAUGAUCAAGAGUGCAACGAGGUGUGCAAGAACAAGUAUAAGGUUUGUGGAACCUGCAUUCUCGAGGCACAUAACAAAGCUAGUUUGCCUGUGCGUCUAUGAUUGCUAGGCAUGAGGUAUUGCAUGGAUUGGAAUUACUGUAUAAGAUGCAUCAUCAAAUGCAAUAAGAUCAGUCCCCUUUUUGCAACUCUGCUCUUGCCCUUAUUGCAACUGUUUAAUGUUAUGGUUUUUGCACUAUACAGAUUCUACUAUAGAUUA
Rosa chinensis is the source of this 1709-nucleotide RNA transcript. It is a transcript of the gene named thioredoxin-like fold domain-containing protein MRL7, chloroplastic, with no coding region annotated. NCBI's taxonomy places the organism in Eukaryota, Viridiplantae, Streptophyta, Magnoliopsida, Rosales, Rosaceae. The transcript is spliced from 4 exons. The record is from RefSeq and is a predicted model, not a curated record.